CCACUGUGCCCAACCUUGUUUAUAUUUUUAUCCUGACACAUAUUACUCUGUGUUAGAGACAAAUGUUGAGUUUGAUCAUUUUUGCAUAAAAAUGGUCACAUUGUAAUUAGAGGUUAACCGUGGAAAUUGCUGUUAUUUAAAACCUAUUGCUAACAUGAUUUCUAAAGUUGAUGUAGGGGAAGGAUUAUGGAAUAGAUUUUUGCCCAAGGUGUAGAUACAUUUUCUUUUUUCUCCUUAGCUGAGAAACAAUGGUCCAAGUUCAUUCAGCAAGGCAAUGCUCCAUCUUCAGUGGCCUUACAAAUAUAAUAAUAACACUCUGUUGUAUAUCCUUCAUUAUGAUAUUGAUGGACCAAUGAACUGCACUUCAGAUAUGGAGAUCAACCCUUUGAGAAUUAAGAUCUCAUCUUUGCAAACAACUGAAAAGAAUGACACGGUUGCUGGGCAAGGUGAGCGGGACCAUCUCAUCACUAAGCGGGAUCUUGCCCUCAGUGAAGGAGAUAUUCACACUUUGGUAAGUGCCAUUUCAAAUAUGUGCACCAUAGACAUUUAAAAAUAUGUGACUAUAGAACUGACGCCAAAGAACAUUUCAAAAAUAACAACAGCUGUGCUUG
This 611-nucleotide small RNA is filed under the name Pan troglodytes (chimpanzee). RNAcentral's name for it is "retained intron". The record is from RNAcentral. Lineage: Eukaryota; Metazoa; Chordata; Mammalia; Primates; Hominidae.